RNAcentral lists this long non-coding RNA (279 nucleotides) under Panax ginseng (ginseng). RNAcentral's name for it is "long non-coding RNA (PGIN_LNC008652)". The record is from RNAcentral. Lineage: Eukaryota; Viridiplantae; Streptophyta; Magnoliopsida; Apiales; Araliaceae.
CCCAGCAAGUUUAAAUACAACAAUAUAAGGAUAUAUCAUGAUUGAAGAGUAUGAAUAAUGAGUUGGCUAUAAUUCAUCAAUAUAAUUGAGAACUAGAAGGAACAAACUUUUGACUGAACAAGUUUUAAACAUGAACAAACAUUUCUGGACAAAUCGGUAAUGAAGGUGAUCAACCUUUCAUACCUGACUUAUACAUGCAAGAUGUACAGAGUACAAUUUUCAUGGCAAUCAGCAAUGAUUAACCAUAAGCUUGAAUAAAACACUCUUAUUAGAGUUAAG